Molecule: ribosomal RNA, 407 nt
Filed under: uncultured bacterium
Lineage: Bacteria
Description: bacterial SSU rRNA
Rfam family: Bacterial small subunit ribosomal RNA
Source: RNAcentral
UGGGGAAUAUUGGGCAAUGGGCGAAAGCCUGACCCAGCAACGCCGCGUGAAGGAAGAAGGUUUUCGGAUUGUAAACUUCUGUCAUAGGGGACGAAGGACGUGACGGUACCCUAUGAGGAAGCCCCGGCUAACUACGUGCCAGCAGCCGCGGUAAUACGUAGGGGGCGAGCGUUGUCCGGAAUUACUGGGCGUAAAGGGUGCGUAGGCGGCGAUGCAAGUCCAUUGUGAAAAGCCCGGGCUUAACCUGGGAGGUGCAGUGGAAACUGUAUGGCUUGAGUGCAGGAGAGGGAAGUGGAAUUCCUAGUGUAGCGGUGAAAUGCGUAGAUAUUAGGAGGAACACCAGUGGCGAAGGCGACUUUCUGGACUGUAACUGACGCUGAGGCACGAAAGCGUGGGGAGCAAACAGG